This 484-nucleotide ribosomal RNA is filed under the name uncultured bacterium. RNAcentral describes it as "partial 16S ribosomal RNA". It matches the Rfam family "Bacterial small subunit ribosomal RNA", at positions 30 to 507 of the family's 1533-position model. The record is from RNAcentral.
AUUGAACGCUGGCGGCAGGCCUAACACAUGCAAGUCGAGCGGAUGAAGGGAGCUUGCUCCUGGAUUCAGCGGCGGACGGGUGAGUAAUGCCUAGGAAUCUGCCUGGUAGUGGGGGAUAACGUCCGGAAACGGGCGCUAAUACCGCAUACGUCCUGAGGGAGAAAGUGGGGGAUCUUCGGACCUCACGCUAUCAGAUGAGCCUAGGUCGGAUUAGCUAGUUGGUGGGGUAAAGGCCUACCAAGGCGACGAUCCGUAACUGGUCUGAGAGGAUGAUCAGUCACACUGGAACUGAGACACGGUCCAGACUCCUACGGGAGGCAGCAGUGGGGAAUAUUGGACAAUGGGCGAAAGCCUGAUCCAGCCGUGCCGCGUGUGUGAAGAAGGUCUUCGGAUUGUAAAGCACUUUAAGUUGGGAGGAAGGGCAGUAAGUUAAUACCUUGCUGUUUUGACGUUACUAACAGAAUAAGCACCGGCUAACUUCGUG